GUGGGGAAUAUUGGACAAUGGGCGCAAGCCUGAUCCAGCCAUGCCGCGUGAGUGAUGAAGGCCCUAGGGUUGUAAAGCUCUUUCACCGGUGAAGAUAAUGACGGUAACCGGAGAAGAAGCCCCGGCUAACUUCGUGCCAGCAGCCGCGGUAAUACGAAGGGGGCUAGCGUUGUUCGGAAUUACUGUGCGUAAAGCGCACGUAGGCGGACAUUUAAGUCAGGGGUGAAAUCCCAGAGCUCAACUCUGGAACUGCCUUUGAUACUGGGUGUCUUGAGUAUGGAAGAGGUAAGUGGAAUUCCGAGUGUAGAGGUGAAAUUCGUAGAUAUUCGGAGGAACACCAGUGGCGAAGGCGGCUUACUGGUCCAUUACUGACGCUGAGGUGCGAAAGCGUGGGGAGCAAACAGGAUUAGAUACCCGAGUAGUCC
RNAcentral lists this ribosomal RNA (425 nucleotides) under uncultured bacterium. RNAcentral's name for it is "bacterial SSU rRNA". It matches the Rfam family "Bacterial small subunit ribosomal RNA", at positions 354 to 796 of the family's 1533-position model. The record is from RNAcentral.